UGAUCACUUCACAGGACCAGAGGGUCAGCAGCGAUGGCAUGAAGGCUGCAGCUGUUGCUGUGGUGCUAGGGCCACACUCUUCUCUUUGCCAGCCCUCUCUCUGGUCCUAGCAUUAAUCACAGCAGCACCAGCUGAGAAGAGAAGAAGAUGCUAGGUCUUGUGCUGGCACUUCUGCAGUCUGUGGAAUUUGAGCACCUGGGUUUGAGUCCAGGCUCUCCUGCUUCAGAGUUGUGUGACUCUAACUUUCACCUCCCUAAGGCUGUUUUCUCCUAUGUGACAUGCUGUUCUCAUCACCUCACGCUGAUUCCCAUCACCAGCCUUUGUUAUUUCUACUUCCCCGGCUCUCAUCCUGUCCAAAUUAACCACAUAUGUUAAGUCUGGAGCAGCUGAGCGCCAUGAGGAGCCCAUGACCAGGGGACAUCACACUAGGGCAAGGAGAGCAUCCUCAGAUGUGAACACAGAGAAGAGGGGAUACUAUCUGCUUAAAAACUACCACAAGAUUAUCAUCAAAGUGAACCAUAUGCAACAAAUCUGCAAGAUAACUUGCUGAUGCCUAUUUGAAACACUGCAAGAGAAGGCAAAUAUAUUCUGAUCUGUGGAAAUUCAGUCUAAGCCUACUCUGCUAUUUUCCUUAAGGCAACAGGGUUUAGUACUACUCUUCAUGUUUACUGUAAAAUGUAAUAUUGGUAACAAAUUAAAAGUUUUUAUGGGUACAUAUUUCUUCUUAAAAUAGAUCAUAUGAGGAAUGAGUGCAGAGGAAUCAAUCAA
Long non-coding RNA from Panthera uncia (snow leopard), 768 nucleotides. RefSeq lists it as uncharacterized. NCBI's taxonomy places the organism in Eukaryota, Metazoa, Chordata, Mammalia, Carnivora, Felidae. The record is from RefSeq and is a predicted model, not a curated record. The transcript has 3 exons.